GUGAAGAUGUGUCUGCUUCCCCUUCACCUUCCAUCAUGAUUGUAAGUUUCCUGAGGCCUACUCAGCUAUGAUUCCAAUACAGCCUGCAGAACUCGGGGUCUACAUUUUCACACCUUCUGGUUCCUAUUCUUCUCCUGAUUGGCUGGAUUGUGGGCUGCAUCAUAAUGAUUUAUGUUGUCUUCUCUUAGAAAGGCAAGAAGAUAUCAGAUUGACAUCAUUUAGAAGAAUUAAGAAAACUAUGAACAUGACUGAUUAUUAAAUGUCUCAUGUUAAACAAUGCAAUGUUUGACAUCACUUUACAAACUUGGAUCAUAAACUGGCACUUUGGUAUGCAUAAGAAUUUCUUCAGGACAAUAAGAAAUUAUGAGUGAAUUUCUCUAUAUUCUGAGUGAGAAAAAUGUUUAGCUGUGAUGAAAAAUGCAUGUCAUUAAAAAAAGUUUGAUAAAUUUAAUCACAUUACAAAAAAUUAUCCCCCCUUCCCUCUGGAAAAAACUAUAGAGAAAGUGGGCUGAGGCUGUGCAAGGUGGCUCAUGCCUGUAAUCCCAGCACUUUGUGAGGAUCCUUUGAGCCCAGAAAUUGGAGACCUUCCUAGGCGACAGAGAGAGACCCCAUCUCUACAAAAAAAAAAAAAAAAAAAAAAAAAAAGAAAGAAAAUGGGCUAGAGAUAAAAACAGACAAUUCAGAGAACAUAUAAUGUAAAAGUACACUUACUUAAUCUCUUGUUCACAAAAAGAGAAAUGUAAUUAAAACUACACUGAGGAAUUGUUGCUCACUUAUCAGAUGGGAAAAAAAUAAAGAUGUUUGACAACAUAUGAGUUGGUAAGACUGUGUGCAAUUAGGCAUUCUCAUACAUUGUCUUUGGGAAUUCAAAAUGGUACAUUUUGCGGGAUGUUUGGCAGUACAUAUCUAUCAAAAUUACAUAUAUAUUUAAUUUUUGACUUAGCUAUCCCUCUUCUAGGAAUAUGGCAAUUUCCACAGGUACAUGAGCAAAAAUACAAAAUGGCUCAUAUACAAGGCUAUUUAUUCUGGCAUAAUUUGUUUAGCAAAAACCUGGAAAUAAGCCAAAUAUCUAUUAAUAGGGGAUUAACUGAAUAAACUGUGGUAUGUCUACAUAAUGUAGUACUUACGCAGUUGUAAAAAGGAAUGAAAAGGACUUUUAGAUACUGAUAUGAAGAGAUCUCCAGGACAAAAGUGUUAAGUGAAGAAGCCAGGUAUAGGACAAUGUAUGCUACCUUUUAUAUGAGAGAAGAAGGGGCUAUACCAAUGUGUACAUGUAUUUGUUGAAAUUAGAAUAUUGAAACUGAGGAGAAACAAAUGGAGGCUAGAUAUCUCUGAAUAUGCCUUGUUUUAUAGUUCUUAUUUUUGGAAUCAUAUAACUAUUUUAUAAGUUAAAAAGAAAAAAAUAAUUUCUCAAAAUUGAAAACAAACUAAAGCAAAUAUGAGAGUAUAUCAAGUUGUGGCAUAACCACACAGAGAAAAGACAUAUUUCAUACAUCUUUAUAACAGCAUAUUUGACUGUACACCUCUUAUGGGAUAAAAAUCUUAACCACAUUCAGUAGUCUUUUUGUUCAUGGUAAUAUUGAUAUGGUUGGUUUGAAU
This 1599-nucleotide long non-coding RNA is filed under the name Homo sapiens (human). RNAcentral describes it as "HSALNT0062653". Lineage: Eukaryota; Metazoa; Chordata; Mammalia; Primates; Hominidae. The record is from RNAcentral.